RNAcentral lists this ribosomal RNA (1387 nucleotides) under Hasora anura. RNAcentral describes it as "16S ribosomal RNA". The stretch from base 1120 to 1278 matches the Rfam family "Eukaryotic large subunit ribosomal RNA", at positions 2825 to 2984 of the family's 3401-position model. The record is from RNAcentral. Lineage: Eukaryota; Metazoa; Arthropoda; Insecta; Lepidoptera; Hesperiidae.
GGGGUAUAAAUUAAUAAUUUAGUUUUAAUAAAAAAAUUUUUAUAGUAUAAUUAUAUUUUAAUGGGGGUUAAAGUAUAUUUUAUAGAAAAAAUUAUAAAUUUUAUAGAAAAUUAGUAUUGUGAGAGAAUUUUGAAAUAUUUUAAAAAUUAAUUUAACAAAAAGUAAAUUUUAUUUAUUGUAUCUUGUGUAUCAGAGUUUAUUAAAAAUAAUUUUUAAUGAAAAAAUUCUCGAAUUUAAAAGAGAUAAUUAAUUAUAAAAGUUAUUGUGGCAAAAAUAUUUUUAAUAAUUAAUUUGAAAUGAAAUGUUAAUCGUUUUUAAAUAUAUCUAGUUUUUUUAGAAAUGAAUUUAAUUUAGGAUUUAUAUUAAAAAAAGUUUUAUAUUUAAUUUUUUUUUGUAUAAAUUUAAUAUUUUAGGGGAUAAGCUUUAAAUUAAAAAGUUAUAAUUUUAAUUACUACAAAAUUAUUAAAUUUUUUAAAAUUUAUAUUGUUUAUAAAUUAUAUUUUUUUAUAAAAAAAUUUAUUAUAGAAAUAAUUUUUACUUAAAUUUAAUUUUUUAUAAAAAAAUAUUUUUUAAUUAAUAAAAAAUAGUUAUAAUGAUAAAAUUAGUAUAAAAAUAUUAUAAUAAUGUUAAUUAAAUACAUUAUUAGGUAAAAAUAUUAUAUAAAUAACAUAUAUGUAAAGUAAUUUAAAGGAAUUCGGCAAAUAUUUAUGUUCACUUGUUUAACAAAAACAUGUCUUUUUGAUAAUAAUUUAAAGUCGAAUCUGCCCACUGAUAAUUUAUUAAAGGGCUGCAGUAUAUUGACUGUACAAAGGUAGCAUAAUCAUUAGUCUUUUAAUUGGAGACUUGUAUGAAGGAUUUGAUGAGAUAUAGACUGUCUCUAAAUUAAAUUUAGAAUUUAAUUUUUUAGUUAAAAAGCUAAAAUAAUUUUAAAAGACGAGAAGACCCUAUAGAGUUUUAUAAUUAUUUAAAUUUUAAUUUUUUAUUAAUUUUAAAAUAAAAAUUUUUUUAAUUAUUUUGUUGGGGUGAUAGAAAAAUUAAAAAAACUUUUUUUUUUUAUUUAACAUAAAUAAGUGAAUAAUUGAUCCAUAAUUUAUGAUUAAAAGAAUAAAUUACCUUAGGGAUAACAGCGUAAUUUUUUUUUUUAGUUCAUAUAAGAAAAAAAGUUUGCGACCUCGAUGUUGGAUUAAGAUAAAAUUUAAAUGCAGAAGUUUAAAAUUUUGAUCUGUUCGAUCAUUAAAAUCUUACAUGAUCUGAGUUCAAACCGGUGUAAGCCAGGUUGGUUUCUAUCUUUAGAAAAAUAAAAUAUUUUAGUACGAAAGGAUCAAAUAUUUAAAAUAAUUUUAAUUUAGGAAUUUUAUUAAUUAUAUGUAUAUUUUAUUAAUUAUAU